GGCGCAUUCGUCUAUCGGAAGGACGCUUGGCCUUCAAUCAAGCAAGAUGGGUUCGACUCCCAUAUGCGCCACUA
RNAcentral lists this transfer RNA (74 nucleotides) under bacterium (Candidatus Gribaldobacteria) CG08_land_8_20_14_0_20_39_15. RNAcentral's name for it is "tRNA-Glu". It matches the Rfam family "tRNA". Rfam says of the family: Transfer RNA (tRNA) molecules are approximately 80 nucleotides in length. The record is from RNAcentral. Lineage: Bacteria; Candidatus Gribaldobacteria.